Molecule: ribosomal RNA, 63 nt
Filed under: uncultured bacterium
Lineage: Bacteria
Description: partial 16S ribosomal RNA
Source: RNAcentral
ACCAGAAGUAGUUAGCCUAACCGCAAGGAGGCGACUACACGUGAGAUCAUCGACUCGGGGUGA